RNAcentral lists this unclassified non-coding RNA (373 nucleotides) under soil metagenome. RNAcentral's name for it is "partial contains 5.8S ribosomal RNA, internal transcribed spacer 2, and large subunit ribosomal RNA". The stretch from base 1 to 121 matches the Rfam family "5.8S ribosomal RNA", at positions 35 to 154 of the family's 154-position model. The record is from RNAcentral.
GAUGAAGAACGUAGUGAAAUGCGAUAAGUAAUGCGAAUUGCAGAAUUCCAGUGAGUCAUCGAAUCUUUGAACGCACAUUGCGCCCUUUGGUAUUCCGAAGGGCAUGCCUGUUCGAGCGUCAUUAUCACCCCUCAAGCCCUCGGCUUGGUGUUGGACGGUUUGGUGGAGGCCCCCUCGGGGGCUCCUGCCCCUCCCAAAGACAAUGACGGCGGCCUCGUUGGACCCCCGGUACACUGAGUUCUUCACGGGACACGUAUCGGACACAUGGGUUUACGGGACACGGUCUGCCUCCCCUCAGGGAGAAUCUUUCUAAGGUUGACCUCGGAUCAGGUAGGGAUACCCGCUGAACUUAAGCAUAUCAAUAAGCGGAAGA